Rhopalosiphum padi (bird cherry-oat aphid) is the source of this 2915-nucleotide long non-coding RNA. RefSeq lists it as uncharacterized. The record is from RefSeq and is a predicted model, not a curated record. The transcript is spliced from 5 exons. Lineage: Eukaryota; Metazoa; Arthropoda; Insecta; Hemiptera; Aphididae.
UUAGUCAUUGAUUUAAUGAUUUUGUUUUAAAUAGAGGUUUGUAAAAUACGAAGUAGGAAAUAAUUGGGUAUCCCGUGAAAGACCGUUUUCCGUGGGUCGAGUGAACGAAUUCCCGGGAAGGAUGAUAUUCAUAUACUUUAAUACUUAUAUGUUUUUGUUGCGCUGCGCACAAACCGCGACCCACAAGUUACCAAGCCGCAAUGUUUGGACGCUUUUUCGGUCAGUCAUCGUCAAAUCGGCGUGGCGGCGGUCUCGUUUAAUAUCAUAUUUUGCACCGAGUGCCGUAUAAUCCAUCCAUGUUUUAAAAAUCGACAGCGCCGUGCCACGCCCGAACGUCGCUAAGCAACGCAACCACGCACCGUCCACAUCUUCUCCACAGAAAUUGCGACGCGGUCACUGCUCACCGACCAACUGUGCGCCUACAACGGCAUGGGAAAAUGGAUAUUUUCUGUCAUGGCUCGUAAGUGCUCCUCCCCCUUAUGAGUGUAUCGUUUGCAGUAAGUUCGUCCGUAAUAAUUUUCCGCGCCACAGUCUGACCACGCACUUGCCUGAUUCCGUCGGCGUUGCACUCAAUCGUCUCAAUCAGUUACGUCUUGCACUUGCAAUCCGCUUAUACUUGCAUUUUUCUUGCGUCCGCGUUUUGUCGGUCGACCACCGGGACGUUACUGUGAUGUAUAGUAACAAAUUUACACACAACACUAUCAAUAGACUAGUCGACAAACAUGCUAUGCUAAAAGCUUACAAACGAAAUCCUGGGUUCCAAUAUCCUCUCUUGUCAACUACUUAUUCAAUUUAAUAUUUAUUGCCUUGCAAAAAUGGAAGGUGAUUAAAAACUAACGAAAAAUAUCUUCCCAAGUGAAAAUGUCUACUACAAUGAGAUAACAGGGAUAAUGAUGGUUACAUUCCAUCCAGCAGAAAAAUAUAUAAUUAGCAAUUUAUUAUUAGAUAACAUCAAACUGUAUUUAUUACAAAACGCACCAUCAGUUUAUGUUUAUGAGUGCCAGAGAAACCUAUUUAUUGCACAUACAUGGCAUGUAUGUGGAUAGAAAUAUGUGGAGUAUUCAUUCCUAACAUAAUAAACUGGAAAAUGUUGAUAAAUUAUACUUCAUUUUCUUGUUUUGUUUUUUGGUUGGUGAAAAAUUGUAAAUAUGUUAAGGAAUAACCAAGAUGGAGAUUUGAAAAAGAUGUACAAUUUUUUGAGUCCUGUGGCAUGGAAGUGAUGUUUGAUUUUGAUGGUAUGCAUCCAUGUUUGUAUGAAGCAGAAACAAGUUUAUACUACAUUUUAUAUAAUUAAAUAGAAAUAUUCUUUAUAACCUUAAAUAUUAGAAAAAAUGUAUACUGAUCAUUGUUUUUAACACAAGUAGAUACAAUGAUAUUCAACAAUAUAAUAUAUUAUGAAACUAAAAUCAGUAAAAUCAGUAAAAUUAAAGUGUCAAAAUAUGUAAAUGAAUUUAUUUAUGAUUCUAUUAUAUGCAAUAUAUUAUAUGAUCAGAGCUCGGAUUUUAUACCACUAAAAAUAAAUGAAAUAUGCGUUAUAAUAUGACCUAAAAAAUCAUUAAAUAAGCGCUAUAAUAUGCCCUAAAAAUAUGAAAAAUAGCAAAAAUAAAAAUGUAUUCUAUUCAUAAUUAAAAAAAACUAAUAAUUAUAAUAAUUACUGUUCGAUAGGCCGAUACGCCAGACUAUUUAAAAAUAGACUUUAAUAUAAAAAAAAUGUGUGUAUUUUUCAUACCUAUGUAUUAAAAAAAAAAAAUAAUUAAAAUAAAUGACAACAUUCUUAUAAUUUUCAUAGGUACCACAUAAUAUAAACUAGAUUUAUGAAAAUACAAAAUAAAAGUUAUAUUAUACAAAUUACCAAAAAAUAGCACCAAAACUUGAAAAAUAGCGCUAAAAAUCUAAAAUACUUCAAAUAUGCAAAAAAUAGCAUUAUAAAAUUUCAUACUUGGAAUCCCUGGUACAUAAAACAAAUUUAUAGCUCAUUGCUCUUUUUAUCUGUAUUCUAUAAUAAUUAGCAAAUGCUAUAAAAUCCGAUCCCUGUAUAAUAUGAUAUAUAUAAUAUAUAAUAUGUAUACAAAAAACAUAAAAGUUUCUCUUCCCCAAUUCCAAAAUAACAAAUCAAAUAAUAAAUAUAAUUAUACAAUUACAACGUUUAUGUGGUGGCCUUUUAAAUACACAAAUGUCGAAUACUCACUUUAUUACUGUAAGUUUGAAUUAUUUUAUCAACCAGUAAAAAUACCAUUUAAAUGUCAUUAUGUAAACGUAAUAAAUAAAAUAUUUUCAUAUACUAUACCAAUAAAUUUAAUGUUUUGUAUAAUAUAAGAAAAAAUGUAUUCAUAUCAUUAGGUAUGUUAUUUAAAAUCUUUAAAAAAAUAAAGUAAUUUUAUAGCCAGUAAUUAUUUUAAAAAUAAAUAUUAUUGAUUUCUAAAAUUUUAUUGAGGAUUGCUGGUCUAGAAUGUACACAUAAUAAUUAUCUUAAAAUUAAAACAUUUUAUUUUAAAAAUUACAUGAAAUUGUACAUGAAAAUCAAAACUGUUUUUUCGACUAAGAACAUUUUUAACAACAAAUAGUCUUCAUAAUCAUAAUAUGUAGGACCCGGAUGAUUAUGACUUUUGCAUCUUUUUUUUGGAAUAUCAUAGACAAUGUUUUCCUAACUUAAAAUAUGUUUUAAUAACAUUAACAUACAAUUAUAAUAUAUAAUUUAUUUUUAUUUUACAUUUUUGCAUUUUUUAAUUUAUAUGUGACUUUUUAGGUCUUUUAUUGAAGUUAUAGUGCCAUUUUUAUUAUAUUUACCAAUUGAAUGAAAUUGAAAACUCAACUAAUAAAUAAAAAUGUAAAACCUUAAAAGCAUUUAACUUAAUUACCUUUUACAUAUACCUACUACAAAAUAUGCUUAAAUUGUUUUUUAGAUUAUAACUAGU